RNAcentral lists this ribosomal RNA (292 nucleotides) under uncultured bacterium. RNAcentral describes it as "partial 16S ribosomal RNA". It matches the Rfam family "Bacterial small subunit ribosomal RNA", at positions 505 to 796 of the family's 1533-position model. The record is from RNAcentral.
GUGUCAGCCGCCGCGGUAAGACGAGCCACACAAACGUUAUUCGGAAUUACUGGGCUUAAAGGGUGCGUAGGCGGCGCGGAAAGUUGGGUGUGAAAUCCCUCGGCUCAACCGAGGAAUUGCGCUCAAAACUACCGUGCUCGAGGGAGAUAGAGGAGCGCGGAACUUAGGGUGGAGCGGUGAAAUGCGUUGAUAUCCUAGGGAACACCGGUGGCGAAAGCGGCGCUCUGGAUCUCUUCUGACGCUGAUGCACGAAAGCUAGGGUAGCAAACGGGAUUAGAAACCCGAGUAGUCC